RNAcentral lists this transfer RNA (67 nucleotides) under Marmota monax (woodchuck). Its description in RNAcentral is "tRNA.Ile". The stretch from base 6 to 62 matches the Rfam family "tRNA", at positions 8 to 63 of the family's 71-position model. From Rfam's summary of the family: Transfer RNA (tRNA) molecules are approximately 80 nucleotides in length. Their secondary structure includes four short double-helical elements and three loops (D, anti-codon, and T loops). Further hydrogen bonds mediate the characteristic L-shaped molecular structure. tRNAs have two regions of fundamental functional importance: the anti-codon, which is responsible for specific mRNA codon recognition, and the 3' end, to which the tRNAs corresponding amino acid is attached (by aminoacyl-tRNA synthetases). tRNAs cope with the degeneracy of the genetic code in two manners: having more than one tRNA (with a specific anti-codon) for a particular amino acid; and 'wobble' base-pairing, i.e. permitting non-standard base-pairing at the 3rd anti-codon position. Lineage: Eukaryota; Metazoa; Chordata; Mammalia; Rodentia; Sciuridae. The record is from RNAcentral.
GAAUAUAGCUUAGUGUUAGAGCACUUGCCUAAUAUGCAUGAGACCCUGGGUUCAAUCCCCAGAAUCA